This 2315-nucleotide long non-coding RNA is filed under the name Triticum aestivum (bread wheat). Its description in RNAcentral is "long non-coding RNA (TAES_LNC004539)". Lineage: Eukaryota; Viridiplantae; Streptophyta; Magnoliopsida; Poales; Poaceae. The record is from RNAcentral.
ACGGGGUCUGGGUGAGGUGGGGGUGGGCGACGCCAAUUGGCGCGCGGGAUCUCUCCGCCGCGGCUCACAGCGACCGCUGGGUUUGACCCCGGGGCGGCAUUGAGAUCGGAGGGGGGGCGAACUGGUGACUUGGGUGAUGAAUUCGCUGGGCUCGAUUGGAGAGGGGAGCGAGGAGAGGGGAGGGGAAAACCCGGUGUGGUUAGUUUGGUUUACCGGUGAAGCCGUGACCGGAAAUACGACGAGGGCCCAGAGCACGGCAUCCAACGGCUGAGAUUGAGGCUGUCAGAUCCGAUGGUUCACUGUCAGCCAGUGGAUGUUGUUUCUGCACUUGGGUUCAGCCUCGGCCAUUGGAUCGGGGAAUUUGAUUAUUUGCCACCACUUUCUUUGCUCUUUGAUAAUUUGCCAUCCCUUACCUUGUAAUUGAUCUAAUGACACCAGUUACAUGAAACUUUGUUAUUUUGCCCUCUGUCGACUGGGUCCCACAAGAAAAGUCGAAAAUACCCCUCUCCCAGGAUUGACCACGAACGAACUGGAGAUCUCGUUAUGGUUCGCUCGCCCUUGUUCCCUUUCUCUCGCCCGCAAGACGGUGGCAACGGCGACUUACGCGGGGUGGCUCAACGACGGCGGACCUGGUGGUCCUCAACGGCGGCUGGAUCCCGGCUAGGAAGGUGAGGCCCUCUCUCCCGCCCCCUCUGUCCCGUCCCUAGGGUUAGGCGAGUCGGGCUCGGUCUCGGCCGCCGCCCGCCGCUAGCGUUGCUUUUGCUGCUGCUCCCAAUUCUGAACCGUUGAUGCUGCCCAAGUUGUUGUUGCUUGUGCACCGCUGCCAUGCUGCGUGGUGAUGCUUGCUGCUGUUGCUUUUUUACUGCUAUUCUAGUGUUGCUUGCUGCUAGAGAUUUUAUUGUGGUUCGAUUGAUGGUUGAUGAUAGACCACAAAUUUAAGAUGAACUAGGUAAUAAUGGCUGAACCGGAGAUGGGUGACGGGUUUUUGGCAUUAUGGGGCUGAUUUUGCUCACGGGUUCUCCAAGCCCCCUCCUCCCCAAGAUCCACCGGCUCUUCUACCUGUGCAUUGUGGGGCUGAUUUUGCUUGUCGAUUGCUUGCAAGUGCGCCGCCGAUUCCCUGCGCAUUGAUCUGUCAUUACUUGUGUUAACCUGCACAUCAGAGACAACUUACAGUUAGUCGAAGUAUACUAGGGAAAAUUGAGAGUAUGUAAAUUCUAUUCUGCAUAGUUCAGUUAGCAUGAUGUCAUGUUAUCCUACAUGCCAUUGGAACCACAUUAGAUUCAGGCAAAAUGUACUAGCGAAUUUUCUGAAUCUCUUAAUUUCUAGAUGCUACAGUACUAGUUCAGUAUGGUGGUUAACAUGCAUUUAACCAGUCACCAUGUUAGAUGUUUGGUUUACUUUUCUGGAAGUCAAGAAUUAGAUGCCUGAAGCUUAUAUAUGUCUCAUCUUGUUCUAUAGAAAUAUCUAAACUAUCAUGAUGAUGGCUCCUUUUCCUGUCCUUGAACAAGCUACAACAAGUGCAGCAGAACGGGUAGACUGAAAUUUGUGGCAUUCCUUUCUUGUAUUGUUGCUCAGUUGACCUAGGCCGUGAAACUAAACGUGGCAUCCUAUUCUUAACGUAAUUUCCAAAUUUGAAUCCAAGAACAAGUAAAUGAUUACAUCAAACAUGACUUACAGGUUACUUGCAUUCUCCAUUUUCAGCACCUGCGCACGCGUCCAUCUCCUCACAGCCACCAAAAGGGCCUCGAGUCGAUGCCGCCAUGACUUCACUGCUGAUGUUGUUCAUUACCGCCCUCGCUACUGCAUGUUCACUGGUGUUAGGGACAGGAAGUCGCCGGCGCACCUCUCUAGCAUGCCGCGAGCUCCGCCAGCACGCAGGUGAGGCCGAGCUGCGGUUGCUUGCGCAGGGCCUGGGCGGCGAGCUGCGGCGGCUCACGCAGGCAUCAGCGAGCCGAGGACGAGCUGUCCCCGCUCGUGCAGACUUGGACGAGCACCGGCGGCGAGUUACGAGAGCGCAGGCAUAAGCGAGGCGACGGCGAGCUCCGCCGGUGCAAGCAAGCAUGGGCUAGCAACGGCGGGCGGCGGCGAGCUGCGGUUGCUGGCGCAGGCGUGGGGGAGCUACUAUUGCCUUAUGGUGGAUGAGAUAUGGAGAUAUGAUGUAUGGACAUGUUAAAUGCUUUAUUUUGCUAUGUCCUCUUCAUAUUGUGUCAUGGUAUAUGAAUAUAUGCAUAUGGAAAUAUAUGUUUGAAUUUGGAUAUUAUGUGCACAAAAUUGUUGAAAAGCCAAACAACAGCCAAAAUGCUGUCCAAAUUGAG